GUGGGGAAUCUUGCGCAAUGGGCGAAAGCCUGACGCAGCCAUGCCGCGUGAAUGAUGAAGGUCUUAGGAUUGUAAAAUUCUUUCACCGGGGACGAUAAUGACGGUACCCGGAGAAGAAGCCCCGGCUAACUUCGUGCCAGCAGCCGCGGUAAUACGAAGGGGGCUAGCGUUGCUCGGAAUUACUGGGCGUAAAGGGCGCGUAGGCGGACAGUUUAGUCAGAGGUGAAAGCCCAGGGCUCAACCUUGGAAUUGCCUUUGAUACUGGCUGUCUUGAGUACGGGAGAGGUGAGUGGAACUCCGAGUGUAGAGGUGAAAUUCGUAGAUAUUCGCAGGAACACCAGUGGCGAAGGCGACUCACUGGCCCAAUACUGACGCUGAGGCGCGAAAGCGUGGGGAGCAAACAGGAUUAGAAACCCUGGUAGUCC
Molecule: ribosomal RNA, 425 nt
Filed under: uncultured bacterium
Lineage: Bacteria
Description: partial 16S ribosomal RNA
Rfam family: Bacterial small subunit ribosomal RNA
Source: RNAcentral